RNAcentral lists this ribosomal RNA (501 nucleotides) under uncultured bacterium. RNAcentral's name for it is "partial 16S ribosomal RNA". It matches the Rfam family "Bacterial small subunit ribosomal RNA", at positions 30 to 523 of the family's 1533-position model. The record is from RNAcentral.
AUUGAACGCUGGCGGCAGGCUUAACACAUGCAAGUCGAGCGGGGGAAGGUAGCUUGCUACUGGACCUAGCGGCGGACGGGUGAGUAAUGCUUAGGAAUCUGCCUAUUAGUGGGGGACAACAUCUCGAAAGGGAUGCUAAUACCGCAUACGUCCUACGGGAGGAAGCAGGGGAUCUUCGGACCUUGCGCUAAUAGAUGAGCCUAAGUCGGAUUAGCUAGUUGGUGGGGUAAAGGCCUACCAAGGCGACGAUCUGUAGCGGGUCUGAGAGGAUGAUCCGUCACACUGGGACUGAGACACGGCCCAGACUCCUACGGGAGGCAGCAGUGGGGAAUAUUGGACAAUGGGGGGAACCCUGAUCCAGCCAUGCCGCGUGUGUGAAGAAGGCCUUAUGGUUGUAAAGCACUUUAAGCGAGGAGGAGGCUACUCUAGUUAAUACCUAGGGAUAGUGGACGUUACUCGCAGAAUAAGCACCGGCCAACUCUGUGCCAGCAGCCGCAGUAA